RNAcentral lists this ribosomal RNA (253 nucleotides) under uncultured bacterium. RNAcentral's name for it is "partial 16S ribosomal RNA". It matches the Rfam family "Bacterial small subunit ribosomal RNA", at positions 524 to 776 of the family's 1533-position model. The record is from RNAcentral.
UACAGAGGUGCCAAGCGUUAAUCGGAAUUACUGGGCGUAAAGCGUGCGCAGGCGGUUUUGUAAGACCGAUGUGAAAUCCCCGGGCUUAACCUGGGAACUGCAUUGGUGACUGCAAGGCUUGAGUGUGUCAGAGGGAGGUGGAAUUCCGCGUGUAGCAGUGAAAUGCGUAGAUAUGCGGAGGAACACCGAUGGCGAAGGCAGCCUCCUGGGAUAACACUGACGCUCAUGCACGAAAGCGUGGGGAGCAAACAGG